RNAcentral lists this unclassified non-coding RNA (2022 nucleotides) under Hevea brasiliensis (rubber tree). Lineage: Eukaryota; Viridiplantae; Streptophyta; Magnoliopsida; Malpighiales; Euphorbiaceae. The record is from RNAcentral.
UGGAUUUCGAUUCAAUAAGAUAUUCACACUCCUAAAUCAUAUGGGAAGAGGAAAGGAAAGCAAAAUGUAUACAAUAAUCGAUGCCAAAAUAUUCGUAUUGAUUUCAAAUCAGUAAUGAUUUCAAAUCAGUAAUUCAUUGCAUCUAUGGAUAAGAAUUCCUUCAAAUUCUUGGGCUUUGGAUAUCAAAUCACAAGAAUUAAUUAAUGACCAAGAAAAAUAUACUUAUUAUUGCAGGGUCUUAGAACAUCAUUUAAAGUUCAUAGAUUUACACAGGAUCACAACCCAGUCUAUAUCACAAACACCCAAUCUCAUCUCAACAAUCCUGUAGUACCAUUACACUAAAAAAGGAACGAGUGGAAUUAAAAUGAUCUUGGCUUGGCAACAAUGGUGGAGUGCUUCAAUAUAUGCAAACUGAAUUGCCCACCCUUCUCUGUGGUAUCAAGUUUUGACUGUCCUGGAGGUGGCAAGAGCUCGAAAUUCUGUACCAAACGACCCAAAGUAAUACCAAGAAUUGGCAAUGCAAGAAUAAUUCCAGGGCAGCUUCUUCUUCCGACCCCAAAUGGCAGGUACCUGAAAUCAUUUCCAUUGGCCUCAACCUUGGACUCCUCUUCCAAGAACCUCUCUGGCCUGAAUUCUUCAGGGUUCUUCCAGUGAGCAGGGUUGUUGGCAAGCCACCAAGCAUUCACCAAAAUUUUGCUUUCCGCAGGAAUAUCAUAACCACCAAGCUUUGCGUCAUGGAGAUUCAUGUGGGGCACAAGAAGAGGAAUUGCCAUUCUCAAACGAAGAGUCUCUUUGAUAACAGCUUGGAGAUAGGGGAGCUUUAGGAUGUCAGGUUCAGUGAUUUGGUGACCAGGUCCAAGCACAGUGUCAAGCUCAUCUCGUAGCUUCUUCUGGAUUCCAGGAUGGUUCACAAGCUCAGCAAUGCCCCACUCAAUCGACCAUAGUGUUGUUUCAAUUGCGGCAACAUUGAUGUUCUCAACAAUGUAAAGAACGUUGUCCUCAUUGAUUUCUCCCUUCUGCUGUGCGUCUAAAAUAUGAUCUAUUGCACAUUUCAACCCUUCAUUAUCCAUGCUCGUUGUGCUUGAAAGUUUCUUCCUCUCUUCAACAAAGUAGUCCUUGAAGAGUUGCAGUCUUCUUUCCUUCACUUCCUUGCAGAUCUUCAAGUAACCUCUCAAGAAAGGUCUCAAAAUGGGGAUAAAAUCACCAUAGUUGUACUCGAAGCUCUGAGCUAAUCUACUCCUCUCUCCGUUCAAAGCCUUCAGCUUCACAAACAAUGGAUCAUCUUCGCUCUCAAAUCUCCUAUCGAACAUAAUCCUGUACAUAUUAUUAUACAUCAACAGCUGCAGUCUUUUCCGCAACACAAUCCCACUGGUGGCUGCCUGUGGGUUCUUCUUCACAUCUUCCACCACCUUCGCUGCCUCAUCUUCCCACCCAUAUCGAUACUGCUGAACAACCUUGUUUGUGAAGAAUGGAACUGUCAUAAUCCGUCUCAUCUUCCUCCAGUGCUCACCGUACACGGUGAACACCAUGUCCUGUCCUUUACCAGUGAAAAUAUCAAACACAACAUUUCGGGUUCUGGACCCGAACUCAACACCCUGAGUAUGCAAAACCUCUUUAGACAAGUCCGGUGAAGAUACAACCACGAGAUUACGUUGUCCCAUACGAAGAAGAAAGAUAUCACCGAAUUUCUUAGCGAGGUCAGAGAGGUUACGGUGGUUCAAGUCAUCGCCGACUUGAAGCCAGUUACCGAAAACUGGGACUGACAAAGGACCCGGGGGAAGCUUAAAACGCUUGCCUCGCAAUUUAGAAAUGACAAUGGCAACAAUAACAGCAAUGAAGAGACCCAAAAGGGUCUUCUCCAGGAGGAGGAGAUCCAUGGGAGGCUUGGUUUGAUGGAUUAGAGAGGGUGAGAGGUAGGUAUUGGCCUAGUGGGUGUGGUGAGGGACAAAGGAAGAUGAUGGGGGAGUUGGUAUUUUAUAAUCAAGUUGGGGAGGUUGGAGAGGGACGUUAGGUGAAGCGUGC